CUUGUACUUCCUCCGUUCCAAAUUACUCGUCGCAGAAAUGGAUGUAUCUAGAACUAAAAUACAUCUAGAUACAUCCAUACCCGCGACAAGUAAUUCAAAACGGAGGGAGUAGAAA
Molecule: non-coding RNA, 115 nt
Organism: Triticum aestivum (bread wheat)
Lineage: Eukaryota; Viridiplantae; Streptophyta; Magnoliopsida; Poales; Poaceae
Source: Rfam